UACGUAGGGUGCAAGCGUUGUCCGGAAUUAUUGGGCGUAAAGAGCUCGUAGGCGGUCUGUUGCGUCGGCCGUGAAAACCUGCAGCUUAACUGUGGGCGUGCGGUCGAUACGGGCAUCACUGGAGUUCGGCAGGGGAGACUGGAAUUCCUGGUGUAGCGGUGAAAUGCGCAGAUAUCAGGAGGAACACCGGUGGCGAAGGCGGGUCUCUGGGCCGAUACUGACGCUGAGGAGCGAAAGCAUGGGGAGCGAACAGG
This 254-nucleotide ribosomal RNA is filed under the name uncultured bacterium. RNAcentral's name for it is "partial 16S ribosomal RNA". It matches the Rfam family "Bacterial small subunit ribosomal RNA", at positions 524 to 776 of the family's 1533-position model. The record is from RNAcentral.